GAUGAACGCUGGCGGCGUGCCUAAUACAUGCAAGUCGAGCGAACAGACGAGGAGCUUGCUCCUCUGACGUUAGCGGCGGACGGGUGAGUAACACGUGGAUAACCUACCUAUAAGACUGGGAUAAAUUCGGGAAACCGGAGCUAAUACCGGAUAAUAUAUUGAACCGCAUGGUUCAAUAGUGAAAGACGGUUUUGCUGUCACUUAUAGAUGGAUCCGCGCCGCAUUAGCUAGUUGGUAAGGUAACGGCUUACCAAGGGAACGAUGCGUAGCCGACCUGAAAGGGUGAUCAGCCACACUGGAACUGAGACACGGUCCAGACUCCUACGGGAGGCAGCAGUAGGGAAUCUUCCGCAAUGGGCGAAAGCCUGACGGAGCAACGCCGCGUGAGUGAUGAAGGUCUUCGGAUCGUAAAACUCUGUUAUUAGGGAAGAACAAAUGUGUAAGUACCUAUGCACGUCUUGACGGUACCUAAUCAGAAAGCCACGGCUAACUACGUG
RNAcentral lists this ribosomal RNA (497 nucleotides) under uncultured bacterium. RNAcentral's name for it is "partial 16S ribosomal RNA". It matches the Rfam family "Bacterial small subunit ribosomal RNA", at positions 28 to 507 of the family's 1533-position model. The record is from RNAcentral.